Molecule: ribosomal RNA, 468 nt
Filed under: uncultured Enterobacteriaceae bacterium
Lineage: Bacteria; Pseudomonadati; Pseudomonadota; Gammaproteobacteria; Enterobacterales; Enterobacteriaceae
Description: bacterial SSU rRNA
Rfam family: Bacterial small subunit ribosomal RNA
Source: RNAcentral
GACGGGGCCCGCACAAGCGUGGAGCAUGUGGUUUAAUUCGAUGCAACGCGAAGAACCUUACCUACUCUUGACAUCCAGAGAACUUAGCAGAGAUGCUUUGGUGCCUUCGGGAACUCUGAGACAGGUGCUGCAUGGCUGUCGUCAGCUCGUGUUGUGAAAUGUUGGGUUAAGUCCCGCAACGAGCGCAACCCUUAUCCUUUGUUGCCAGCGGUUCGGCCGGGAACUCAAAGGAGACUGCCAGUGAUAAACUGGAGGAAGGUGGGGAUGACGUCAAGUCAUCAUGGCCCUUACGAGUAGGGCUACACACGUGCUACAAUGGCAUAUACAAAGAGAAGCGACCUCGCGAGAGCAAGCGGACCUCAUAAAGUAUGUCGUAGUCCGGAUUGGAGUCUGCAACUCGACUCCAUGAAGUCGGAAUCGCUAGUAAUCGUGAAUCAGAAUGUCACGGUGAAUACGUUCCCGGGCCUU